CGUAGGGUGCAGGCGUUAAUCGGAAUUACUGGGCGUAAAGCGUGCGCAGGCGGUCUACUAAGACAGGUGUGAAAUCCCCGGGCUUAUCCGGGGAACUGCGCUUGUAACUGGUAGGCUUGAGUGUGGCAGAGGGGGUGGAAUUCCGACGUAGUAGCAGUGAAAUGCGUAGAGAUGUGGAGGAACACCGAUGGCGAAGGCAGCCCCCUGGGCUAACACUGACGCUCAUGCACGAAAGCGUGGGGAGCAAACAGGAUUAGAUACCCUGGUAGUCCACGCCCUAAACUAUGUCAACUGGUUGUCGGGGAAGCAAUUCCUUGGUAACGAAGCUAACGCGUGAAGUUGACCGCCUGGGGAGUACGGCCGCAAGGUUA
Molecule: ribosomal RNA, 371 nt
Filed under: uncultured organism
Description: bacterial SSU rRNA
Rfam family: Bacterial small subunit ribosomal RNA
Source: RNAcentral